RNAcentral lists this long non-coding RNA (1794 nucleotides) under Mus musculus (house mouse). Its description in RNAcentral is "maternally expressed 3". The stretch from base 564 to 665 matches the Rfam family "Maternally expressed 3 conserved region 2". Lineage: Eukaryota; Metazoa; Chordata; Mammalia; Rodentia; Muridae. The record is from RNAcentral.
ACAGAAGACGAAGAGCUGGAAUAGAGCUCGCCUCGGCUCUGCUGGCCUUGGCUGCAGCUCUUCCAGAAACCCGGGGCGCCCACAGAAGAAUCUCUUACCUGGCUCUCUCUUCAGGGAUGACAUCAUCGGCUCACACCAGUCUUCCAGGACCACCUUCUGGAUGCCAAGGCUGCUGCUCGAGUACCUGCUGUGCACCUCUACCUCCUGGUACCCCAGCCACUCCCUCAAGUUGCCUGCAUGUUAUAUGGCCUAGCCAAGGAGCACGGAUUCCAGGAACCCACUACCAUACAGAGCAACUCCUUGUGGACCCCCCUGGGAUCAGGACAGCGAGGGACAAGCGACAAAGAGGAUCAUCAGUGGCCAGCUAGUUUCUCUGGGGUUCAAACCUUGAACCAGUGCCCUAGUGAGGGGGCACUGGCCAUGGCCCUUGACCUUUGCUCUGCUUGUGUCUUGAGUCUGAGCCCUUUCCUGUACAUCUGUGCUCGUGUUCAUCUGCUAGUGAACUGGAGUGCUGCCCUCCCCGAGGAGGGUCGUCCCUUGUGACUGAUCAUGCUGUCCUAACAAUGUCCUGAGCAAAAGGGUCCCUUUGGGAACCUCUCAGGAGGGGGACCCGGGUCAGGGGCGACCAGCAUCUUGCUGGCAACUCCGUGGGUGGGGUGGGGUGGGGUGCUUCCUUCUGGAAUGAGCACGUGGCUGACCCCCCAAGGCAUGUCCCCUCCCCCUCCUCCACCCACCUUCUCGGAGAUGUCCCUUUUGGGGUAGUGGGGACAUUAGGAGCAACCUCCUAGGGUUGUUGUGAGAAUUAAAUGAACUGCAGCAGCCUGAGGCAGGGCUGGGCAGAGACCUCAGCACAUGUUUGUUGAAAGGUUUGCAGGUGGAUCUAGUCCUCCCGUUCAUGGCUCAUGUGUCUCAACCAUUCUCUCGCAGACUCCUGCAGCCCCUAUGCCCAGGGCUCUCCUUGCGCCAGAGGUAGGUGGGAAAGAGAACUGGGAGAGCCCGGACUCACUCAUGAGAUUGAACUUAAAUUCACACGGAGGACACUUGGACUCUUGCCACAUUAGGUUUAAGGCUUGGCUUGCUGGCCCUGGAGAUCCCGUCGCCGUCUUCGUCGAACUCGAAAUCCUAGCCAUCGUCCUUCCCUGGCCUGUCGCGUCUUCCUGUGCCAUUUGCUGUUGUGCUCAGGUUCCACGAGCUGCCCAUCUCCACAGAAGAGCAGCUGGCAUUGCCCACCGGCCAUGCCGGCUGAAGAAAAGAAGACUGAGGACCCCAGGAUGCCCAGCGCGAGGACCCCAGGAAGCCCAGCGCGAGGACUCCACCCACGACGCCCAGCGCGAGGACUUCACGCACAACACGUUGCAACCCUCCUGGAUUAGGCCAAAGCCAUCAUCUGGAAUCCUGCGUGGGACCCUGGACACACGGACACAGACACCUGCCCCCAGGACCCUCCAACUGUAAAUCCCUCUACAGCCACGGGGACGCCUUGCACAUUUCCUGUGGGACAUGCUGGACCCAAGACUCUGGACCCUGGCCUCCCCUUGAGUAGAGAGACCCACCUACUGACUGAUGAACUGCGCUGACCCUGGGGUCAGGCAUGUGGCCUUGAUCCCUACCCAUGGACCCUGAGACUUGGGGGGGUGGGAGAAAGGCUGUUGUGUCUUCACUGUUGAGUCUACAUCUGUGAAAUGGGCUCAGGUUCCUACCUCACAGGGCUGUUGUGAGGCAGCCGCAAUGUGCUUAGAAGCAUGGGGCCUAGUGGCUCAUGGUGCUUUCAAUAAAUUUCUUGUUUUAACUAAA